This is a long non-coding RNA of Dromaius novaehollandiae (emu), 2926 nucleotides long. RefSeq lists it as uncharacterized. The record is from RefSeq and is a predicted model, not a curated record. The transcript is spliced from 2 exons. NCBI's taxonomy places the organism in Eukaryota, Metazoa, Chordata, Aves, Casuariiformes, Dromaiidae.
CUUUGAGACCGAUUUAAAGAGCAAAGUCGCCGCCGCAGCGCCCGGUCCCUCCCUCUGCGCGGGAGCGGGGCCCCCUCCCCCCUCCCCGCCCGCGGGGUUGUGCGCAGCCAGCCGGGGGGCAGCACGGCCGGUACCUGCCUGCGGAGCGGGAGGCGGCGGCGCGGCGGCCGCCCGCCUGGGGCGGGACGGGGCCGGGCCAGGCGCUUCUGCCCGCUGCCGGCCGCGGUAGCUACGGGCACAAACGGCCGCUGGAUUGGUGUUUUUGUCUUUUAUUCUCCCACACAGCUUCAGCUGGUUUUAUUCUUUCAGUAAAAAUCUUCCAAAGGUUCAAGACUAGAUUAGAACAUCUGUGAAGCCGGCAAAAAGGAAGAGGUGAAUCGUUUUAGGAAGUCUCAUCUCUGAGAACUACAUGCCUCCACCUUCCCAGGCGUCGGUGUUGUGAACACAUACCUGGCAAGGCCUGCAGAAAGCAUGCUGCGUAUAGAGCACCCUCACUGCGCACAGUAACAGUUUACGAACCCUAACUCAUGCUGCCCUUGUUUAACACCACUUGCUGCACGAUACAGCAUUGCUGGCACGUGCAGGCUCCAGCUCCUGAAGACGCAGAAGGCUAACUGAAUGGGGACAGUUGAGAGAGGAAGGUGGUUUAUCACACCCUAAAAAGCAAUCUGUAUGUGCUGGGCUUGGAGGCUUCAGUUUUAUUUUUACACUGAGUUUAGCAGAACUAACAGCAGGCAUAAUUUUGUUUCCACAAUCAGGACAGUGGAGAAAGGGAGGAACAGACCUUAAGCAUAAAAAAUCAGCUCUGACAAAGGGACUGGUAUCAAGGAUUGUUUUACAUUAAACAUAAGAUAACAUAUUUUCUAUGGCAAUAUGGAAAUUUCUACCAACUAAUGGGUAAACUUUAGUUAGCAAAUUAUUUAAACUUUUUCAUUUAUUUGGCUUGUAUUUUUUUGUACAACCAAUUUUGGGGCCUGCUAGAAAUAGGAAUGCGGUAAUUUUUCUCUAUAUACCUGCCACAAUUUUAAAGGACACCGCUGAUUUCAAUCCUUAAAAAUAAUGAAAACAUAAAGGAGUUAAAAGUAGCUUAUAUACCUACUUGUUUAUCAAAUUCAUGGUUUAAUAAAAACAUUUCUUGAUAGAAUUCGUCACAAAAAAAGCAUUUAAAAGGUGUUCAUUUAAAAAUGUGUUUAAUUUAAAAAUGCAUUUUAUAUAUGUAGCUUUCUGUCUCUUGUGCUUUACUGAAAGUCCCACAGAUUGAUUCCCUUACUGGUUGUCUGAGGAAAAAUAUGAUUCGUUUGCCGAACAUACAACUUCUAUAUUAGAAGAAAUAAACACUACAAGAAAUCCUGCUGACAAUGACUAGUUUCCCUUGUGGCUUCAAAUCAUGCCAUUUUAGACUUACGCACAACUUCUAGGGAAGUCUAGUGUUUUUGUACAGGGAAUUAAGGUAAUUUGGAUGACUUACAUGUAUGAAGUAACUCAAAUUCAUUUCUGUUGAUGACUGGGCCCUUACUUGGCUAUGCACCUUUAACUCAGUUUCACAGUUCAGCUCUGCAUAUUCAAUUCAGUAUUAAUCCUGUGUGUGAAAUUCAUGGAAUAUCAUAUUCCUUGAUGUAAGUAAAAGGCAAGGCAGCAAGAUUUAAGGGAAAGAAGCAGUUUGAAAUUCAAAAAAGUUUUCAAAUAUUUCACUCUAAGUGAAUAGUGCUUUCCAAAACAAACACAUCAUAUAUCAUGACCAGCUGCUAUAUAGUAGGGCCCCAUAUUUGCCAAAAUGAAUUCAAUUUUUUGUCCUAUCUCAUGUAAUUUAUACUUUAAUAAACCUUUUGCAUAAAUCAGAAAUGAUUUUGCACCAUGUAUUCUACCAGGAAGCCUUAGACAUACCAUUAAACAAACAAACAAAAGACAAAUAGCUGUUAUUUUAACUACAAAAACAAGAAAGACAUAGUUUCCUUUUACUACAUUAUUGUCUUCUAGACACACAGGCAUUUUUCCUAAACUGGAAGUAUUGAAUAUGUCAUUGCACAGCAAUCCAUAGGUAUUCUGAGCCACCUAAUGUUCUUGUUCACUACUCUGGGAUUGUGUAACCAACAUUGUUGUGACGUCCUAUACUUUACUGUUCAAACUAUGACUUACUUCUCUCAAUAUUUUCUUUAUUACUUGAUCAUUCUUAUAAAAGCACAGUCUAGUUUGUAUUGCUAUAAAUAGCUAUAUUUAUGUAUCUAUGCAUCUAAUACAUCUAAAUGCAUGUAGGUAAAUACACAUACACAUUUUUUUUAAACUUCAAGCAAUAAAGAGGCGGGUUGUCUGUGGUUUACAAAAAAAACACUCUAGGCCAAAUUUACAUAUACAAAUAAGAUAAAGUUAUAUGUUCAAACAGAGAUGUAAGGGAUCUAUUGAUGUAAUUUGUAUUAUCAGGUUCUGAAGAAAGGAAUAUUCAGAUAAGCAUGUUGCUCUACCUUAAUUUAAUUUAUAUCUUCCUUACCUUUCCCUUUUUUGUGUAUUUUCUUUCCAGAAGAUUUAUUUAUAAAACCAUAUUCCUCAGUGUUGUGUCAUUAUAGGCCUCAAGGAGCUUUUUCUAAAACUGUGAUGGUUAGCUGGGAAGUUGUGGUCAAAUAUCAGCUGGGAGAACUUCACUCUGUUUAGCCUAGAGUUACCUUGAAAUUUCCAUUGGAUAAGUAAUUCAUCACAUGUUGUUCUAAGUUGUCAUAAAUAGCAUAGCAUACAGCAUUGUAUGAUACCUGAUGCAGUUAUAACCAGAAGUGGCCAUGAAAGCUUGGGUUGCAAAUCAGUGAAUUGUCACUCUUCUGAAUAACAGGUGACAGAAAAAUCUAUUUCAAAAGAUAUAUUUUGGCCUCAGCUCUGAAAAACACCUUGGGAAAAGGAAAAUUAUAAUUAUUGGUAAUAAAAAUAUUGAUUAAAAUAA